GCAAUAUGAAGGUCAGGCUGAAGACCUUACCCGAUUAGCUGAGAGGUGGUGCAUGGCCGUCGUCAGUUCGUACUGUGAAGCAUCCUGUUAAGUCAGGCAACGAGCGAGACCCACGUCCACAGUUGCCGGCAUACCCUCCGGGGUGAUGGGUACACUGUGGAGACCGCCGCUGCUAAAGCGGAGGAAGGAGUGGGCAACGGUAGGUCAGUAUGCCCCGAAUCUCCCGGGCUACACGCGGGCUACAAUGGUUGGUACAAUGGGCAUCUACCCCGAAAGGGGAAGGAAAUCUCUUAAAGCCAAUCGUAGUUCGGAUUGAGGGCUGCAACUCGCCCUCAUGAAGCUGGAAUCCGUAGUAAUCGCGUUUCAACAGAACGCGGUGAAUACGUCCCUGCUCCUU
RNAcentral lists this ribosomal RNA (397 nucleotides) under uncultured Methanosaeta sp. RNAcentral describes it as "bacterial SSU rRNA". It matches the Rfam family "Archaeal small subunit ribosomal RNA", at positions 942 to 1338 of the family's 1478-position model. The record is from RNAcentral. Lineage: Archaea; Methanobacteriati; Methanobacteriota; Methanomicrobia; Methanotrichales; Methanotrichaceae.